ACUCCUACGGGAGGCAGCUGUGGGGAAUUUUGGACAAUGGGCGAAAGCCUGAUCCAGCAAUGCCGCGUGAGUGAAGAAGGCCUUCGGGUUGUAAAGCUCUUUUGUCAGGGAAGAAACGGUGAAAGCUAAUAUCUUUUGCUAAUGACGGUACCUGAAGAAUAAGCACCGGCUAACUACGUGCCAGCAGCCGCGGUAAUACGUAGGGUGCAAGCGUUAAUCGGAAUUACUGGGCGUAAAGCGUGCGCAGGCGGUUUUGUAAGUCUGAUGUGAAAUCCCCGGGCUCAACCUGGGAAUUGCAUUGGAGACUGCAAGGCUAGAAUCUGGCAGAGGGGGGUAGAAUUCCACGUGUAGCAGUGAAAUGCGUAGAUAUGUGGGGGAACACCGAUGGCGAAGGCAGCCCCCUGGGUCAAGAUUGACGCUCAUGCACGAAAGCGUGGGGAGCAAACAGGAUUAGAAACCCCGGUAGUCCC
Molecule: ribosomal RNA, 470 nt
Filed under: uncultured organism
Description: partial 16S ribosomal RNA
Rfam family: Bacterial small subunit ribosomal RNA
Source: RNAcentral